AUGGCUGAAGGAACUGGUACUGGAAAGAGGACUUAUGUCACAUGGGAUGAUGAGAUGGACGCUGCCUUGCUUGAGGUACUUGUUCAUCAUCACAACAUGGGUGACCAUUCACAAAAUGGAUGGAAAGCACAUGUGUACAGUGCAGCUAUCAAGAAUGUGAAGGAGAAGUGCAAUAAGGAUAUCGCGAAGAACAACAUAUUAGGAAGGCUUAGGACUUUCGACAAUCAAUUUGAAAUCAUUAACAAGAUCCUUUCUCAAAGCGGUUUUGGUUGGGAUUGGGUCAAUAAUAAGCUAUCCAUUGAUAGCGACGAUGUGUGGACUAAAUAUUUGGAGCACUGGGAAGCCAUCUCUACCAUAUAUUUAAAAGAUCAUGCGGACGGUGAAGGUGCCAAGACAUGUGCUGAGACUGCUGCUGAGACUGCUGCAGAUCUAGAAGAAACAAUUGAAGUCUCUCCAGAAACGGUACCAAAGAGACCACGAACAGGUGAUGCCAUUAUAUGCAUGAUUGGAGAAAUGAGGACUACUUUCAAGGAUGCUUUGAAGACAACUGAUCCACUUCCAUUGCCAAAGGUUACUACUCCUUCUGAAAUACUUGCUGCACUUGAGUUGAUACCAGAGUUGGCAGAAGUAGACAUGUUGCACUCUUACAGAAAGUUGAUUCUUAAUGAGCGCUUGUUUGAAGCUCUAAUGGAGCUUCCCAUGCACAUGAGGAAGGCUUGGCUGCUAUUAUUGCCUUGA
This 738-nucleotide ribosomal RNA is filed under the name Triticum aestivum (bread wheat). RNAcentral's name for it is "partial small subunit ribosomal RNA". The record is from RNAcentral. Lineage: Eukaryota; Viridiplantae; Streptophyta; Magnoliopsida; Poales; Poaceae.